GGAGGGGGGGUUAGCGUUGUUCGGAAUUACUGGGCGUAAAGCGCACGUAGGCGGACUGGGAAAGUUGGGGGGGGUGAAAUCCCAGGGGCUCAACCCUGGGAACUGCCUCCAAAACUAUCAGUCUAGAGUUCGAGAGAGGUGAGUGGGAUUCCGAGUGUAGAGGUGAAAUUCGUAGAUAUUCGGAGGAACACCAGUGGCGAAGGCGGCUCACUGGCUCGAUACUGACGCUGAGGUGCGAAAGUGUGGGGAGCAAACAGGAUUAGAUACCCUGGUAGUCCACACCGUAAACGAUGAAUGCCAGUCGUCGGGUAGCAUGCUAUUCGGUGACACACCUAACGGAUUAAGCAUUCCGCCUGGGGAGUACGGUCGCAAGAUUA
Molecule: ribosomal RNA, 377 nt
Filed under: uncultured organism
Description: partial 16S ribosomal RNA
Rfam family: Bacterial small subunit ribosomal RNA
Source: RNAcentral